This is a long non-coding RNA of Helicoverpa armigera (cotton bollworm), 3759 nucleotides long. RefSeq lists it as uncharacterized. NCBI's taxonomy places the organism in Eukaryota, Metazoa, Arthropoda, Insecta, Lepidoptera, Noctuidae. The transcript has 2 exons. The record is from RefSeq and is a predicted model, not a curated record.
AAAAUUACUACUCGAAGUGAGAAAAACUAUUGAUACUGGGACACUUAUAGACCUCAUAGCAUCAGGUUUACCAAACUAUGUGGUUGAUAAAAUUGAUAGAGAAGCUGUACAAGAAACUGAAGAUUUCUACAAUGAAAUAGGGAAACUGGAACAUCUAGUUGCGAAGAAUAAAUAUGAAAAGAAAAAUUAUGCACAUUCUGACACUAAGCCAAAAAAGUUGAAGAGAAAACCAUGCCAAAUCUGUAUCAAUGAGAAAAAGGGAAACGUUACCAUCCUGAAGAAAAUUGCUGGUUUAAUGGAAAAAAUCAAAAGCAGUAGUGAAAAGUGUAAAUAACUCUGAAUUGGAAAUUGAAUUAAAUGAGAAGAAUCCAAAACUAGAGGUGCCACCAUUAAUAAAAAUAGAGUUGCUAUUAAAUGACACUUUAACAGUUUUGGAAUUUAUGACUCUGGUUCAAAUGUGUCAUUAAUAAAUGCUAAAUUGCUAAAAAUCCAACAAAAAGAAGUUCCAAGUGAUUUACAAAUAGUAAACUUGAAAACUAUUAAUGGUGAGAAAAACAAAAGGUAUGGUCACAGUUAAGGUAAAAAUAUACAACACUGAACAUGAAAUGGAGGUUUUGUUGUUGAAAAUGAAAAUUUUAAUUAUGACUUCCUGAUUGGCUUAGAUUGCAUAAAAAUUUAGAUUAACUCAAGAUGAACAAUUACAGAUAAAAUGUGCUGAUUCACUUGAUAAUAAGAAGACCAUAAAUAAAGAGGUUAUAAAAACUUUGAAAUAAACUUCAAUGAACAUAUUAACUGGGAAAAAUUUGAAAUGUAUGUAAACCAUUUAGAUUUAUAUCAACAAUCAGAAAUUGAUAAGUUGACUACAAAAUACAGUCAAAUUUUCGCAAAAGAUAAAUAUGAUGUUGGCAGUGUACGAAAUUAUGAAGCACACAUUGACUUGAUGGUGGAUAAAUACUGCUAUAAACGUCCCUAUAGAUGCACAGCGGAAGACAGAAAAGAAACUGAAAAUCAGAUAUCAAAACUUUUAAAAAUAAAUUGAUUGAAGAAUCAUAUAGCCCAUUUGCUGCGCCAGUUACUCUUGCAUAUAAAAAGAAGAUAAGAAAAAACAAGAUUGUGUAUUGACUUCAGAGAAUUGAAUAAAAUAGUGGUCCCUCAAUCACAACCUUUUCCAUUAAUUGAAGACCUUAUGAUAAAGACUGUAAACUGUAAGUACUUUUCUACAUUUGAUAUAAAUUCAGCAUUUUGGUCAAUUCCUUUGAAAAUUCAAGAUAGACAUAAAACUGCAUUCGUAACACAAGAAGGCCACUUCCAAUGGACUUGCCUCCCAUUUGGAUUGAAGACUGCGCCAGCCAUCUUCCAAAGAAUAUUGAGCAACAUCAUAAGAAAAUAUAAACUUUCUGGAUUUGCGAUAAAUUUCAUAGAUGAUGUCCUCAUAUUUUCAAAAACAUUUGAUGACCAUAUAGCACACAUAUCAAGACUUCUGGAAGCAAUACAAACAGAAGGUUUCAGACUGAAAUUUUCGAAAUGUACUUUUGCAAAACAUUAUGCCACAUAUUUAGGUCAUACAAUUGAAAACAAUUCAGUCAGCCCUCUGAAAGAUUAUCUAACAGCUGUCAAAAAUUUUCCUGUUCCAGAAACAAGAAAAAUAUUCGUCAAUUUCUAGGAAAAAUAAAUUUUCAUCAUAAGUUUGUCCCACACAGUGCAAUCAUCUUGAAUCCAUUACACAAUUUAUUGAGGAAAGAUGUCAAAUUCGUGUGGUCUGCAGAAUGUCAAGAAACAUUUGACAAAAUAAAAAAUUACUAUGUUCAAAACCAAUUCUAAAAUUUUUGAUCCAGAACUACCAAUAGACAUUUACACAGACGCCAGUAUCAAAGGAGUGGGAGCAGUAUUGAAACAGAAAGACACAAAUGGAAAAAGUAAGCCAGUUGCAUAUUUUUCAAAAAGUUAACUGAAUCUCAAAAAAGAAAAGGCAAUAUACCUAGAAUGUCUAGCAGUAAAGGAAGCUCUGAAAUACUGGCAACAUUGGCUUAUGGGAAGAGAAUUUACGGUUUAUUCUGAUCAUAAACCACUAGAAAAUAUGAACAUCAAGGCUAGAACUGACGAGGAACUAGGUGAUUUGAUGUAUUACUUAUCGCAAUAUAAUUUUAAACUUAAAUAUAACCCCGGAAAAACAAAUCAAGAAGCUGACUGCUUAAGCAGAAAUCCAGUCCUGGAAUCUUAUGACAAUACGGAUGAUUUUCUAAAAGUAGUAAAUUUAAUAAGCUUGGAAGACAUAAAAAAGACCAGCGCACAAAUCUUGACCUGGAAAAUAGCAAAAUAAAACUAACAUUAGAGAAUGAGAUUUAUUACAAAAGAAUACUAGAAAGAAAAAAAUUAUACUAUCAGAAGAACUUAGCAAAAAUUUAAUAAAAGAUGUCCACAAUACUUACUGUCAUAUUGGAAGAACUCAGAUGAUAAAUAAAAUAACACCAUUCUACACAGCAAGGAAUAUUAUUGCAAACAUUAAACGAACCUGUGAUGACUGUGAAAUUUGUAUAAAAACAAAUCAAGGAGGAAGUCAAAGUAUGGUUUAAUGUCACAUUUAGGUCCAGCAACACGACCAUUUGAAAUUGUAUCCAUCGACACCAUUGGAGGCUUUGGAGGAUCAAGAUCAACUAAAAAUAUUUACAUCUUCUGGUUGACCACUUCACAAGGUAUGCAUAUAUUCUUACGUCUAAAACCAAAGCUCCAGUGAUUUCAUUAAACUAAUAAAAUUGUAACACAAAGUUACAAUAUUGAUAUGGUAUUAACCGACCAAUACCGGGUAUAAAUUCUAAAGAAUUUAAACAAUUUCUGUAUAAAGAAAACAUAAGAAUAGUUUUCACUGCUGUUGAUGCACCAUUUUCAAAUGGACUCAAUGAGAGACUAAAUCAAACAAUAGUCAACAAGAUACGAUGUAAAACAAAUGAGAGUGUGAAGAAAACAGCAUGGACAACGGUUGCACAGGAAUGUGUGAGAAAAUAUAACGAAACUGAACACACUGUCACGAAAUUUUCUCCAAAGUACCUUUUGGAAGGAGAAAAUACAAAUAUUUUACCACUUGAAUUGAAAUUAAGAAAUUCAAAAGAAGAUCUGAGGAAGGACAGAAAAUUGGCCUUUGAAAACACACUAAAAUCCCAUAAUUAUAAUAAAAAAUAUUUGACAGACAUAGAGAAGAGUGUAAAUUGGAAGUGGGAGACUGGGUCUAUGUUGAAAAUGGAAAUAGGCUGAACAGGAAGAAGAUGGAUGAACUACGGAUUGGACCAUAUAAAAUUCUGAAAAAGAUUUCCAAUUCCAUUUAUGAGGUUGAUACUGGCCACAAGAAAGCAGAAUCAAAUCUUUAUCAUACAACGAAGCUGUCUCCAGUACAAGUUAGUUAAUGAACAAUUACGCGCGUGCCCACUUGUAAUUGUCUCUGUAAGGGAGAUGUAAAGAAAACCAUCACAUUCAUAUGCCUAAUUUGAAAUUGCCGCUUUUCUUAAUUUUGAAUUUCGCGCGUCUCGCGCUUCUAUAUUUAAUAGAUGAAUUUUGAAUGUCAUCACCGAGAGGACGACAUUUGGAAUUUACAAGUUGGUUGCAUCAUUAAUAUUUUAUAAGUUAAUACGUUUCUUAAAAGGGAUAUCAAUACCUGAAAUAAGGGCAUUAAAUGUUGUUUCUUUUGUUUUCACAGAGAACACAACUUGGGUCUUUAUUUCAUUACACCUCAACGUUUAAUCCAAUUAUAAGGAAAGGAGCAUUAUA